RNAcentral lists this ribosomal RNA (730 nucleotides) under Bacillus amyloliquefaciens. RNAcentral describes it as "bacterial SSU rRNA". It matches the Rfam family "Bacterial small subunit ribosomal RNA", at positions 172 to 889 of the family's 1533-position model. The record is from RNAcentral. Lineage: Bacteria; Bacillati; Bacillota; Bacilli; Caryophanales; Bacillaceae.
GAUGCGUUGUUUGAACCGCAUGGUAUAGACAAAAGGUGGCUUCGGCUACCACUUACAGAUGGACCAGUGGCGCAUUAGCUAGUUGGUGAGGUAACGGCUCACCAAGGCAACGAUGCGUAGCCGACCUGAGAGGGUGAUCGGCCCCACUGGGACUGAGACACGGCCCAGACUCCUACGGGAGGCAGCAGUAGGGAAUCUUCCGCAAUGGACGAAAGUCUGACGGAGCAACGCCGCGUGAGUGAUGAAGGUUUUCGGAUCGUAAAGCUCUGUUGUUAGGGAAGAACAAGUGCCGUUCAAAUAGGGCGGCACCUUGACGGUACCUAACCAGAAAGCCACGGCUAACUACGUGCCAGCAGCCGCGGUAAUACGUAGGUGGCAAGCGUUGUCCGGAAUUAUUGGGCGUAAAGGGCUCGCAGGCGGUUCUUAAGUCUGAUGUGAAAGCCCCCGGCUCAACCGGGGAGGGUCAUUGGAAACUGGGGAACUUGAGUGCAGAAGAGGAGAGUGGAAUUCCACGUGUAGCGGUGAAAUGCGUAGAGAUGUGGAGGAACACCAGUGGCGAAGGCGACUCUCUGGUCUGUAACUGACGCUGAGGAGCGAAAGCGUGGGGAGCGAACAGGAUUAGAUACCCUGGUAGUCCACGCCGUAAACGAUGAGUGCUAAGUGUUAGGGGUUUCCGCCCCUUAGUGCUGCAGCUAACGCAUUAAGCACUCCGCCUGGGGAGUACGGUCGC